GACGAACGCUGGCGGCGUGCUUAACACAUGCAAGUCGAACGAAGAGCGAUGGAAGCUUGCUUCUAUCCAUCUUAGUGGCGAACGGGUGAGUAACGCGUAAUCAACCCGCCCUUCAGAGGGGGACACCAGUUGGAAACGACGGCUAAUACCGCAUACGAUCUAAUCUCGGCAUCGAGGAUAGAUGAAAGGUGGUCUCUACAUGUAUGCUAUCACUGCAGGAGGGGAUUGCGUCUGGUUGGGUAGUUGGAGGGGUAAAGGCGCCCCAAGGCGGUGAACAGUAGCAGGACGGAGAGGAUGAGCGGCCAGAUUGGGACGGAGACACGGCCCAGACUCAUACGGGAGGCAGCAGUAGGGAAUCGGCCGCAAGGGACGAAAGACUGACGGAGCAACGCCGCGGGAGGGAGGACGGCCGUCGGGUUGGAAAGCUCGGUUAAUGGGGACGAAAGGGCUUCCUGCGAAUAGGGAGAAGGAUUGACGGUACCGGGUAAGAAAGCCACGGCUAACUACGUG
RNAcentral lists this ribosomal RNA (510 nucleotides) under uncultured bacterium. Its description in RNAcentral is "partial 16S ribosomal RNA". It matches the Rfam family "Bacterial small subunit ribosomal RNA", at positions 28 to 507 of the family's 1533-position model. The record is from RNAcentral.